AAGGCGAGGCCGAAAGGCGUAGUCGAUGGGAAACGGGUUAAUAUUCCCGUACUUGGUGUUACUGCGAAGGGGGGACGGAGAAGGCUAUGUUGGCCGGGCGACGGUUGUCCCGGUUUAAGCGUGUAGGUGUGUGUUCCAGGUAAAUCCGGUUCACUUUAACACUGAGGCGUGACGACGAGGCACUACGGUGCUGAAGCAACAAAUGCCCUGCUUCCAGGAAAAGCCUCUAAGCAUCAGGUAACAUCAAAUCGUACCCCAAACCGACACAGGUGGUCAGGUAGAGAAUACCAAGGCGCUUGA
This 300-nucleotide ribosomal RNA is filed under the name Salmonella enterica subsp. enterica serovar Senftenberg. RNAcentral's name for it is "partial 23S ribosomal RNA". It matches the Rfam family "Bacterial large subunit ribosomal RNA", at positions 1393 to 1693 of the family's 2925-position model. The record is from RNAcentral. RNAcentral also lists the same sequence under 3 other names. Lineage: Bacteria; Pseudomonadati; Pseudomonadota; Gammaproteobacteria; Enterobacterales; Enterobacteriaceae.